GUGUCAGCCGCCGCGGUAAUACGAAGGGUGCAAGCGUUAAUCGGAAUUACUGGGCGUAAAGCGCGCGUAGGUGGUUCGUUAAGUUGGAUGUGAAAGCCCCGGGCUCAACCUGGGAACUGCAUCCAAAACUGGCGAGCUAGAGUAUGGCAGAGGGUGGUGGAAUUUCCUGUGUAGCGGUGAAAUGCGUAGAUAUAGGAAGGAACACCAGUGGCGAAGGCGACCACCUGGGCUAAUACUGACACUGAGGUGCGAAAGCGUGGGGAGCAAACAGGAUUAGAAAC
Molecule: ribosomal RNA, 281 nt
Filed under: uncultured prokaryote
Description: partial 16S ribosomal RNA
Rfam family: Bacterial small subunit ribosomal RNA
Source: RNAcentral